Molecule: RNase P RNA, 330 nt
Filed under: Chryseobacterium sp. 6424
Lineage: Bacteria; Pseudomonadati; Bacteroidota; Flavobacteriia; Flavobacteriales; Weeksellaceae
Description: RNase P RNA component class A
Rfam family: Bacterial RNase P class A
About the family: Ribonuclease P (RNase P) is a ubiquitous endoribonuclease, found in archaea, bacteria and eukarya as well as chloroplasts and mitochondria.
Source: RNAcentral
CAAGAAAAACGGCCUGUUGAUCUCAAUUCAUUUUUGAGGUAGGAAAGUCCGGACACCACAGAGCAGCAAAGCGGGUAACGCCCGUCGGUCGCAAGAUCAGGACCAGUGCAACAGAAAGGAUGUAUAUUAAGUUAUAGUGAAAUCAGGUAAACUCUUUGCGGUGCAAUGUUAAGUAUAUCGGAUUUUCCCGGUUCGCCGGGAAUAGGGGUGGCUCGCCCCAAAAACCGAGGGGUAAACAGCUAAAGCUUUGCAGUAAUGUAAAGCGCAGAUAAAUAACAGGCGCCCCGAAACUUCGGGGUACAGAAUCCGGCUUAUAGUUUUUCUUGUGGU